GAGGAGAGCACAGUGGGAAUUUCUAGAGGAAGAGAAAGGAAUCUAAUGUGAUAUGGGAGUGAAAAAUGGGAUCCAGAAAAGCAGAGAGGAAAUGGGGAAGUGGACCAGGUCUCAGAACCAGCAAAGGCUACUAUGUAUAUUUCACUUAGUUUAGGAGACUAACUUCAUAUGGGAGCGUAUGCUGGAAUUCUGAGAGCCAGAAAAGGAACGUGCCAGGUGCCAGAAUCAGUUAAUAGGCAUUAUGUGUCUUCUGCAUUUCAAUCUACAUGCUGCUUCUUUUCUUUCAGGUAUUCAUACAAACCAACAUUUCCUGACUGAAUGCAAAUAGGACACUUCUUUGAAAUGAGGAGCGACAAAUUUUUAACCUUUCUAGAAUUCAUGACAGAAUACUGUUUUUUUUUUUUUUUUAACGCUGUCUCCAUUGAAAGUCAGUUACUGAAUGGUAGGACACAAUUCUUAUGAAUUUUGUAGAAAGACAAAUAAUAUUCUCAUCUACAACUGUGUGAAGAAAAAUAGAAAAAUACUUGCCAUGUGUUAAAUCCUUACACUAUGGAGAAUACUAUGCAAACUGCUUUCAACUGCCUGCGUUCAUUUAAGAAUCACAACAACUAUGUCAGCUGAGUUUGCUGCUGUGUUGAUUGCGCUGACUUACUUUGAGGAACUGGUAAACAAAAACAUUAUGCUGACACUUGGUAUUACGGUUUAAUGUUCUUGUUUCAUGGAUCCUAAUCCUCAGGAAGUGUUCAAAUUCUAAAUGAGCCUACUCAGUGCAGAGUACACCAACUGGAAAGAGAAGAAACGGAACUAAACUGCCAUUGUCUUCUUCUUCUGAAUUAACUAAGUUAAAUUAAUAAAUUUUGUAAAAGUCUUUGCUGUAUUAGGAAUUGUGAUCUUGCAAUGCGCAUUGCUCUGCAGAUAAAUCUCCUGCCAGAAGACAGACUUCUGCAUAAACAGAAAAGCCUGGUCUCCACAGACUUGGUUGCGGUCUUGGUGCAUUUUCGUCAUCAGUGGCUCUCUUCACCUAAAAAUGUUUUAAUAGCCUCAGAGUAAAAUGGAACAGCCUUUUAUUUUCUUUUUGCUAAGCUAAUGUUACAUCAUUAUAACAGGGACAUUCCCUCUUAUCCAGAAAUAUUUAUAAGAAAAGAAAAACAGCCUUUCAUAUAAGAGUUUCUGAAAAACCUAGAACUUUCAUUCAACGUCUGCUUUAAUUUGUGGUUUUGUACUCUUAAGGGGAAAUUGGUGGACAAAACCCACAAGAGAACUGAGAACAGCUGUAUGAAGAGGCAAUGCAGGUUAAUGAAGAGUGAAGAGAAGAGAACAGUGCGGAUUUCUAGAAGAAGAGGAAGGAAAUUAUUGUGAUAUGGGAGUUAAAAAUGGGAUCCAGAAAAACAGGGAGGAAAGGGGGAAGUGUGCCAGGUCUCAGAACCAGCAAAGGUUGCUAUGUAUAUUUCACUUCAGUUUAGGAGACUAACUUUAUAUGGAAGUAUAUUCUGGAAUUCUGAGAGCCAGAAAGGGAAUGUGCCAGGUGCCAGAAUCAGCUAAUAAACAUCAUAUAUCUUCUGCACUUCAAUCUAGAUGGUGCUUCUUCUCUCUCAGGUAUUUAUACAAGCCACCAUUUCCUGACUGAAUACAAAUAGCAAACUUCUUUGAAAUAAGGAGGGAUAAUUUUUCAACCCCUCCAGAUUUUUUGACAGAAUUCUAGGUUUUUAGUUUGC
Molecule: long non-coding RNA, 1715 nt
Filed under: Homo sapiens (human)
Lineage: Eukaryota; Metazoa; Chordata; Mammalia; Primates; Hominidae
Description: HSALNT0147320
Source: RNAcentral